UACGAAGGGGGCUAGCGUUGCUCGGAAUCACUGGGCGUAAAGGGUGCGUAGGCGGGUCUUUAAGUCAGGGGUGAAAUCCAUGGAGCUCAACUCCAGAACGUGCCUUUGAUACUGAGGAUCUUGAGUUCGGGAGAGGUGGAGUGGAACUGCGAGUGUAGAGGUGAAAUUCGUAGAUAUUCGCAAGAACACCGGUGGCGAAGGCGGCUACACGUGGCCCGAAACUGACGCUCAUGCACGACAGCGUGGGGAUCAAACAGG
This 258-nucleotide ribosomal RNA is filed under the name uncultured bacterium. RNAcentral describes it as "partial 16S ribosomal RNA". It matches the Rfam family "Bacterial small subunit ribosomal RNA", at positions 524 to 776 of the family's 1533-position model. The record is from RNAcentral.